CGACGCGGUCCGGGAGCGCACCCGCCGGUGACUUCUGCAUCUUGGUCUCCAGUCCCAGCCGCGAGGGAAGUUCCUGGGGCCGGCCGGGCGUAAGUGCUUUGUAAAAGAUCCCUAAUGUCAGCUUCAUCUUAAAGAGACUAAGACGUCUUCACCAACCUCCUCCCCUUCAGCCGUAUCCAUAACUCUGAUCACAUUUCUACAGUGUCAUCCUUCUCUCCUGAGCCCGGGUUAAAAAGGCAGCUGGUGUCAGAAGUAGUUACGGCUGAAGCUUAUCAUCCAAGAUGCCUCACCCGCUGCUUGGUGCACAGAUGCCAGCCUGUGGUUAUUGGAACCUGUCUGCCAGACCAAAGGGAGGAAAUCUGCCAGACAAGAUGUGGAACCUAAAAGCGGAACGUCACUAACUGCUGUGGGCAUCUCUGCCACUUCAUGACCCGUGGACUUUUGGGGAAGUAUUUUUGUGGCUCACCAGUCUCUCAUUAGGCAAGGGCCAGUUGUCCUGGGCUGGCCUUCUCUACUGGUGGAAAGUACAGCUGGGAGAUUUGGAAUGGUUGCUGUUUGACUCUGAUUCUUGGCCAUGAGCUUUUUUGGUAAGAUCCUGAGCUGAAAUUUGCUGUUGAGGAUUGCAGGAUUCCUUCUAAUCUUUGGGAAUGUUUUGAAUCAUAACUGGCAGUGGCUUUCCGAAGGCAACUUGAGCAAGCUCAGGGAAGAAGCCAUCACCCUCUCUCACAUGAAUGUGCCUUUGGGUAAAUCACCCUGAACCCCAGACCCAGAAAUGCCAUCUGCCUUUUUCCUGAGCCCUGAUUUAGAGUGUAAACCUUUUUCUUCUUUUUUACAUGAGUAGAUGUAUUGUUUUCUGCUUCCUCCUUCUCUUAAAG
This 875-nucleotide long non-coding RNA is filed under the name Sus scrofa (pig). RNAcentral describes it as "lncRNA (ENSSSCG00045021404.1)". Lineage: Eukaryota; Metazoa; Chordata; Mammalia; Artiodactyla; Suidae. The record is from RNAcentral.